GGUGCUAUAGUGUAGUGGUUAUCACUCGGGAUUUUGAAGUAAUUACUUUGCUUUCCCGAAACCCAGGUUCGAACCCUGGUAGCACCU
Molecule: transfer RNA, 87 nt
Filed under: Coprinopsis cinerea AmutBmut pab1-1
Lineage: Eukaryota; Fungi; Basidiomycota; Agaricomycetes; Agaricales; Psathyrellaceae
Description: tRNA-Gln
Rfam family: tRNA
About the family: Transfer RNA (tRNA) molecules are approximately 80 nucleotides in length. Their secondary structure includes four short double-helical elements and three loops (D, anti-codon, and T loops).
Source: RNAcentral